CUGGUACCUCUAGCAAAACACAAGGUCCAGGGCAGCCAAGAUCCCAGGUCAUGUGCUUUGCUAGAGGUAGCAGCAAGAUCAUAACUCCGGUUUUCUAAUUGUGAACUCUGCACUCUCUGGUCUUAAAAUUCCCUUCACUGAAUUUUACACACAGGUCUACACAUUACUGACGCAUGGCAAGCAAGAACAGACAGGAAGGAUGCCACAGAGACUCACCCACACACAGGGAUGGAGAAGGUUCUAGUCAGGAGAGCAGCUUGGCUCUGUGAGAAUGGAAUAGGAAUGCCUUCGAGGACAAAUACCAGCUCAAAUGCACAAUAGCCUG
This is a long non-coding RNA of Homo sapiens (human), 325 nucleotides long. RefSeq lists it as uncharacterized. The record is from RefSeq and is a predicted model, not a curated record. NCBI's taxonomy places the organism in Eukaryota, Metazoa, Chordata, Mammalia, Primates, Hominidae. The transcript is spliced from 3 exons.